RNAcentral lists this ribosomal RNA (495 nucleotides) under uncultured bacterium. RNAcentral's name for it is "partial 16S ribosomal RNA". It matches the Rfam family "Bacterial small subunit ribosomal RNA", at positions 28 to 505 of the family's 1533-position model. The record is from RNAcentral.
GAUGAACGCUGGCGGCGUGCCUAAUACAUGCAAGUCGAGCGAACAGACGAGGAGCUUGCUCCUCUGACGUUAGCGGCGGACGGGUGAGUAACACGUGGAUAACCUACCUAUAAGACUGGGAUAACUUCGGGAAACCGGAGCUAAUACCGGAUAAUAUAUUGAACCGCAUGGUUCAAUAGUGAAAGACGGUUUUGCUGUCACUUAUAGAUGGAUCCGCGCCGCAUUAGCUAGUUGGUAAGGUAACGGCUUACCAAGGCAACGAUGCGUAGCCGACCUGAGAGGGUGAUCGGCCACACUGGAACUGAGACACGGUCCAGACUCCUACGGGAGGCAGCAGUAGGGAAUCUUCCGCGAUGGGCGAAAGCUUGACGGAGCAACGCCGCGUGAGUGAUGAAGGUCUUCGGAUCGUAAAACUCUGUUAUUAGGGAAGAACAAAUGUGUAAGUAACUAUGCACGUCUUGACGGUACCUAAUCAGAAAGCCACGGCUAACUACG